RNAcentral lists this ribosomal RNA (254 nucleotides) under uncultured bacterium. Its description in RNAcentral is "partial 16S ribosomal RNA". It matches the Rfam family "Bacterial small subunit ribosomal RNA", at positions 524 to 776 of the family's 1533-position model. The record is from RNAcentral.
UCCGUAGGGGGCAAUCGUUGUUCGGAUUUACUGGGCGUAAAGGGCGCGUAGGCGGCGCGUAAAGUCGGACAUGAAAUCAUUGGGCUUAACCCGAUGGCUGUGCCCGAUACUUGCGUGCUUAGAGUGCGGGAGAGGCAAUCGGAAUUCUCGGUGUAGCGGUGAAAUGCGUAGAUAUCGAGAGGAACUCCGGUGACGAAGGUGGGUUGCUGGACCGACACUGACGCUGAGGCGCGAAAGCUAGGGGAGAAAACGGG